AAAAAAUUCCCUUUUUCCGACUUGCCUGGACUGAGACAAGAUGUUCGAUGCCAUUUUCACCGCUGUAUGUCCACUGGUUUGGUUCCCAUGGGUAGCAUUUCAUGUUAGCUUAGCAUAAAGACUUGAAGUCUAUAGGAGUCGUUAGCCUAACUCUGUCAAAGUGAAAAAAUAAACCUCACAGCAACUCUGAAGCUGUCUUAUUUAUACAGUGUAUCGUGUAUUUGCACAUCUUGGGAUUU
This is a long non-coding RNA of Myripristis murdjan (pinecone soldierfish), 239 nucleotides long. RefSeq lists it as uncharacterized. Lineage: Eukaryota; Metazoa; Chordata; Actinopteri; Holocentriformes; Holocentridae. The transcript is spliced from 2 exons. The record is from RefSeq and is a predicted model, not a curated record.